GUGCUUGCUUUAGCAGCACAUACACUAAAAUUGGAACAAUGCAGAGAAGAUUAGCAUGACCCUUGCACAAGGAUGAUACAGAAUUUCUACUUCAUCCUGCUGUACUCU
This is a small nuclear RNA of Candoia aspera, 108 nucleotides long. Lineage: Eukaryota; Metazoa; Chordata; Lepidosauria; Squamata; Candoiidae. The record is from RefSeq and is a predicted model, not a curated record.